Hypoxylon sp. NC0597 is the source of this 81-nucleotide non-coding RNA. The record is from the annotation of a GenBank genome assembly. NCBI's taxonomy places the organism in Eukaryota, Fungi, Ascomycota, Sordariomycetes, Xylariales, Hypoxylaceae.
UCUCGAUUGGUCUAGUGGUCAGGAUACCUGCUUGUCAUGCACAAUGCGCAGGUGGCCGGGGUUCGAUUCCCCGAUCGAGAG